UUUAGGAUUGGGCAUUUUGCCAUUUAGGAUUGGGGAUUUGGUAUUUAGGAUUGGGGUUUUGUAUAUUUUGUGGUUUUGUGGUUUUGGGGAUUUGGGGAUUUGAGGAUUGAGGAGACCCAAAGGCUGCAGGGAGGGUUUGGAAAGGCUGAGGCGCAGAGGCACUUUAUGGACUGCAGGGGGAGCUCUGACUGCCAGAACACUGCCAUGAAAGCAAGCAGAGGAAGUGAGCAGGGCUGGAGGGAAGACUAUCAUUUAUAAUAUCAUAACCAAAAGUGUACAGCAUUUCUGUCCAUGUGGUCUCACACACAAAGUCAACAGUGAAAGGAAUGCUAUCCAUCUGACAAGAAAGAAGUGGACAGUACAGCAGACAAAGAUGUGUCACAGCUUUGGAUCAACCAUCUGCAGCAGAGUCCCGGUCCACUGGGUCACACCACAAGUUGGAAAUUACAGCUACAGCUGAUUCAGUAACUUCUGGAUCCACUCGGGACUUUUUCUCUCACUUAGACAUAAUUUACUCUUCAUUGAAGGCUUGUAUUUUAUCUUGCAGAGUUUCUAUGUGAUCUAUAAUUACCUUGUUUAAUUUUGCUCAUUAUAUUAUGCAUAUAAAUAGCACAGAGGUGCAGUCUGACGGGA
Molecule: long non-coding RNA, 633 nt
Organism: Micropterus salmoides (largemouth bass)
Lineage: Eukaryota; Metazoa; Chordata; Actinopteri; Centrarchiformes; Centrarchidae
Exons: 2
Source: RefSeq, a predicted model, not a curated record